AUACGUAGGGUGCAAGCGUAUCCGGAAUAUUGGGCGUAAAGGGCUCGUAGGCGGUUCGUCGCGUCCGGUGUGAAAGUCCAUCGCUUAACGGUGGAUCCGCGCCGGGUACGGGCGGGCUUGAGUGCGGUAGGGGAGACUGGAAUUCCCGGUGUAACGGUGGAAUGUGUAGAUAUCGGGAAGAACACCAAUGGCGAAGGCAGGUCUCUGGGCCGUUACUGACGCUGAGGAGCGAAAGCGUGGGGAGCGAACAGGAUUAGAUACCCUGGUAGUCCACGCCGUAAACGGUGGAUGCUGGAUGUGGGGCCCGUUCCACGGGUUCCGUGUCGGAGCUAACGCGUUAAGCAUCCCGCCUGGGGAGUACGGCCGCAAGGCUAAAACUCAAAGAAAUUGACGGGGGCCCGCACAAGCGGCGGAGCAUGCGGAUUAAUUCGAUGCAACGCGAAGAACCUUACCUGGGCUUGACAUGUUCCCGACGGUCGUAGAGAUACGGCUUCCCUUCGGGGCGGGUUCACAGGUGGUGCAUGGUCGUCGUCAGCUCGUGUCGUGAGAUGUUGGGUUAAGUCCCGCAACGAGCGCGACCCUCGCCCCGUGUUGCCAGCGGAUUAUGCCGGGAACUCACGGGGGACCGCCGGGGUUAACUCGGAGGAAGGUGGGGAUGACGUCAGGUCAUCAUGCCCCUUACGUCCAGGGCUUCACGCAUGCUACAAUGGCCGGUACAACGGGAUGCGACGCGGCGACGCGGAGCGGAUCCCUGAAAACCGGUCUCAGUUCGGAUCGCAGUCUGCAACUCGACUGCGUGAAGGCGGAGUCGCUAGUAAUCGCGAAUCAGCAACGUCGCGGUGAAUGCGUUCCCGGGCCUUGUACACACCGCCCGUCAAGUCAUGAAAGUGGGCAGCACCCGAAGCCGGUGGCCUAACCCCUUGUGGGAUGGAGCCGUCUAAGGUGAGGCUCGUGAUUGGGACU
This 963-nucleotide ribosomal RNA is filed under the name uncultured bacterium. Its description in RNAcentral is "bacterial SSU rRNA". It matches the Rfam family "Bacterial small subunit ribosomal RNA", at positions 523 to 1482 of the family's 1533-position model. The record is from RNAcentral.